RNAcentral lists this ribosomal RNA (308 nucleotides) under uncultured bacterium. Its description in RNAcentral is "bacterial SSU rRNA". It matches the Rfam family "Bacterial small subunit ribosomal RNA", at positions 504 to 811 of the family's 1533-position model. The record is from RNAcentral.
CGUGCCAGCAGCCGCGGUAAUACGUAGGGUGCGAGCGUUAAUCGGAAUUACUGGGCGUAAAGCGAGCGCAGACGGUCACUUAAGCAGGAUGUGAAAUCCCCGGGCUCAACCUGGGAACUGCGUUCUGAACUGGGUAGCUAGAGUGUGUCAGAGGGAGGUAGAAUUCCACGUGUAGCAGUGAAAUGCGUAGAGAUGUGGAGGAAUACCGAUGGCGAAGGCAGCCUCCUGGGAUAACACUGACGUUCAUGCUCGAAAGCGUGGGUAGCAAACAGGAUUAGAUACCCUGGUAGUCCACGCCGUAAACGAUG